GGGAGGGAUAUCGAUUUCGAUGAUGCUGUGUGGAUCGGUUACUUUCUUUAUAGGGUUCAUGUUGUUACCUUGGGUUAUUGGCGUGUUCAUGGUGUUUUACGUUGCUGGGAUUAUUUCCGCGAUUUCCAUGAUGGGUCGUUCUAUUAUUUGUUAUGUCUUGUCCCCUCCUUCGCCUCGAAAAGAUAUUCCUGCAUGGUAGAUUUUUGUGAAGAGAAAAGGUGGAUUGGGUUAAGCAGUUGGGAGAAGGCCAUUGGGAAUCAACAUUUGAAUUCUUGCGAGUGAUGUUAGGUGUUGCCACAUAGAGAGGUAAACGAGUUUACCAGGUUUCUUCAAGUAUUAAUGCAUGAAAUUCGGAAUGACGCUUGCUUGGGAUGUUGACUGAACUAUGUGAAUAUGGAUGGCUUCCUUUUUUAGCUGAAACAGUGACUUUGUAAAGUAUUUUUAACCGUAUCCAUGUCUAUUGUAUUCUUAUUUACCGGGAAAAAAACAUGGGAGGGUUGAUU
Long non-coding RNA from Hibiscus syriacus, 503 nucleotides. RefSeq lists it as uncharacterized. The transcript has 2 exons. NCBI's taxonomy places the organism in Eukaryota, Viridiplantae, Streptophyta, Magnoliopsida, Malvales, Malvaceae. The record is from RefSeq and is a predicted model, not a curated record.